UACGUAGGGGGCUAGCGUUGUCCGGAUUUAUUGGACGUAAAGCGCUCGCAGGUGGUUCGUUGCGUCGUGCGUGAAAGACCCCGGCUCAACUGGGGAGGGUCGUGCGAUACGGGCGAACUGGAGGCCAGUAGGGGGAUGCGGAAUUCCGGGUGUAGUGGUGGAAUGCGUAGAGAUCCGGAGGAACACCAGCGGCGAAGGCGGCAUCCUGGACUGGUCCUGACACUCAGAAGCGAAAGCGUGGGGAGCGAUCCGG
RNAcentral lists this ribosomal RNA (253 nucleotides) under uncultured bacterium. Its description in RNAcentral is "partial 16S ribosomal RNA". It matches the Rfam family "Bacterial small subunit ribosomal RNA", at positions 524 to 776 of the family's 1533-position model. The record is from RNAcentral.